GACGAACGCUGGCGGCGUGCUUAACACAUGCAAGUCGAGCGGUAAGGCCCUUUCGGGGGUACACGAGCGGCGAACGGGUGAGUAACACGUGGGUGACCUGCCCUCAGCUCUGGGAUAAGCCUGGGAAACCGGGUCUAAUACUGGAUAUGACUCCAUGACGCAUGUUGUGGGGUGGAAAGCCUUGUGCGGCUGAGGAUGGGCCCGCGGCCUAUCAGCUUGUUGGUGGGGUGAUGGCCUACCAAGGCGACGACGGGUAGCCGGCCUGAGAGGGCGACCGGCCACACUGGGACUGAGACACGGCCCAGACUCCUACGGGAGGCAGCAGUGGGGAAUCUUGCGC
Molecule: ribosomal RNA, 340 nt
Filed under: uncultured bacterium
Lineage: Bacteria
Description: bacterial SSU rRNA
Rfam family: Bacterial small subunit ribosomal RNA
Source: RNAcentral